This 226-nucleotide unclassified non-coding RNA is filed under the name Borna disease virus rescue plasmid pBRT7-HrBDVnc. RNAcentral describes it as "contains the hepatitis delta virus ribozyme and the T7-terminator". The stretch from base 1 to 87 matches the Rfam family "Hepatitis delta virus ribozyme". The record is from RNAcentral.
GGCCGGCAUGGUCCCAGCCUCCUCGCUGGCGCUGGCUGGGCAACAUUCCGAGGGGACCGUCCCCUCGGUAAUGGCGAAUGGGACGCGGCCGAUCCGGCUGCUAACAAAGCCCGAAAGGAAGCUGAGUUGGCUGCUGCCACCGCUGAGCAAUAACUAGCAUAACCCCUUGGGGCCUCUAAACGGGUCUUGAGGGGUUUUUUGCUGAAAGGAGGAACUAUAUCCGGAU